AAUAGAUACCCGGUAGUCCAUGCCGUAAACGUUGGGAACUAGAUGUAGGGCCUGUUCCACGGGUUCUGUGUCGUAGCUAACGCAUUAAGUUCCCGCCUGGGGAGUACGGCCGCAAGGCUAAAACUCAAAGGAAUUGACGGGGGCCCGCACAAGCGGCGGAGCAUGCGGAUUAAUUCGAUGCAACGCGAAGAACCUUACCAAGGCUUGACAUAUAGCAGAACACCGUAGAAAUACGGGACUCUUUGGACACUGUUAUACAGGUGGUGCAUGGUUGUCGUCAGCUCGUGUCGUGAGAUGUUCGGUUAAGUCCGGCAACGAGCGCAACCCUCGUCCUAUGUUGCCAGCACGUUAUGGUGGGAACUCAUGGGAUACUGCCGUGGUCAACACGGAGGAAGGUGGGGAUGACGUCAAAUCAUCAUGCCCCUUAUGUCUUGGGCUUCACGCAUGCUACAAUGGCCGGUACAAUGGGCUGCGAUACCGUAAGGUGGAGCGAAUCCCAAAAAGCCGGUCUCAGUUCGGAUUGGGGUCUGCAACUCGA
RNAcentral lists this ribosomal RNA (538 nucleotides) under uncultured bacterium. Its description in RNAcentral is "bacterial SSU rRNA". It matches the Rfam family "Bacterial small subunit ribosomal RNA", at positions 777 to 1315 of the family's 1533-position model. The record is from RNAcentral.